RNAcentral lists this ribosomal RNA (350 nucleotides) under uncultured bacterium. Its description in RNAcentral is "bacterial SSU rRNA". It matches the Rfam family "Bacterial small subunit ribosomal RNA", at positions 355 to 702 of the family's 1533-position model. The record is from RNAcentral.
UGAGGAAUAUUGGACAAUGGAGGCAACUCUGAUCCAGCCAUGCCGCGUGCAGGAAGACUGCCCUAUGGGUUGUAAACUGCUUUUAUACAGGAAGAACCACACCUACGUGUAGGUGCUUGACGGUACUGUAUGAAUAAGGAUCGGCUAACUCCGUGCCAGCAGCCGCGGUAAUACGGAGGAUCCAAGCGUUAUCCGGAAUCAUUGGGUUUAAAGGGUCCGUAGGCGGGACAAUAAGUCAGUGGUGAAAGUCUGCCGCUUAACGGUAGAAUUGCCAUUGAUACUGUUGUUCUUGAAUUAGUAUGAAGUGGUUGGAAUGAGUAGUGUAGCGGUGAAAUGCAUAGAUAUUACUC